This 640-nucleotide ribosomal RNA is filed under the name Aspergillus carbonarius. RNAcentral describes it as "eukaryotic LSU rRNA". It matches the Rfam family "Eukaryotic large subunit ribosomal RNA", at positions 1 to 655 of the family's 3401-position model. The record is from RNAcentral. Lineage: Eukaryota; Fungi; Ascomycota; Eurotiomycetes; Eurotiales; Aspergillaceae.
UUGACCUCGGAUCAGGUAGGGAUACCCGCUGAACUUAAGCAUAUCAAUAAGCGGAGGAAAAGAAACCAACCGGGAUUGCCUCAGUAACGGCGAGUGAAGCGGCAAGAGCUCAAAUUUGAAAGCUGGCUCCUUCGGAGUCCGCAUUGUAAUUUGCAGAGGAUGCUUUGGGUGCGGCCCCCGUCUAAGUGCCCUGGAACGGGCCGUCAGAGAGGGUGAGAAUCCCGUCUUGGGCGGGGUGUCCGUGCCCGUGUAAAGCUCCUUCGACGAGUCGAGUUGUUUGGGAAUGCAGCUCUAAAUGGGUGGUAAAUUUCAUCUAAAGCUAAAUACUGGCCGGAGACCGAUAGCGCACAAGUAGAGUGAUCGAAAGAUGAAAAGCACUUUGAAAAGAGAGUUAAACAGCACGUGAAAUUGUUGAAAGGGAAGCGCUUGCAACCAGACUCGCCCGCGGGGUUCAGCCGGCAUUCGUGCCGGUGUACUUCCCCGUGGGCGGGCCAGCGUCGGUUUGGGCGGCCGGUCAAAGGCCCCUGGAAUGUAGUGCCCUCCGGGGCACCUUAUAGCCAGGGGUGCAAUGCGGCCAGCCUAGACCGAGGAACGCGCUUCGGCUCGGACGCUGGCAUAAUGGUUGUAAACGACCCGUCUG